This 1011-nucleotide long non-coding RNA is filed under the name Piliocolobus tephrosceles (Ugandan red Colobus). RNAcentral describes it as "lncRNA (ENSPTEG00000017349.1)". The record is from RNAcentral. Lineage: Eukaryota; Metazoa; Chordata; Mammalia; Primates; Cercopithecidae.
AAUAUAUUCCAUAUGGUAGACAGUUAUGAUACUAUUGAAGAACUAAUAAAAUCCACACAGUUUUGGAAAAUGUUAAAAAAUCAUAUUCAUAGUUUAGAUUUAACUUUAUUUCAAAAGUAUUUAGUUGAAAAAUAUAAUAAAGUUGUAAGUUCGGAAGUAAAGAAAGAAAAGGUAGAAAAAGGGGUAGAAGAAAAGGUAGAAAAAAAUGUUACAAAUUUAGAUAUAAUAAAAUGUAUAAAAGAUAAAACGUUUAUGAACAAAUAUGAAAAUAAAUGUGAUGGUUAUUUAAAAAAAUUAAAAAAAAAAUAUGAUGAUAAGCUAUUCAUAGAUUUUGAAACAGAAUGUAAAUAUAUAAACGAGCGUUUGAUUAGUGAAAUGUUUAUUGUUGAAGAUGACUCUAGUGGUUCUAAUGCUAUUGGUAAAAGUGACAGUAAACAUACAGACACGAUAAAUACAACUAGUACCACACGUGGAAAUAGUUACAAUUUAAAUAGUACAUACAGUUAUAACCAAAGUGUAAAAAAUACGAAAGAUACAAACUCGUUAAGUGUGAUUAAUAAAAAAUUUGUAUAUAUACCUGAAGUGGAUACGACUCAUACUGGUGCGAUUUCUACCGAUCCUACGACAAUUAACGAAAAUAGUAUAAAAAACACAAAUGAUAUGAACAAUGUUAACAGUAUAAAUAACAUAGACAACAAAUAUAAUUCAACUUACACAAAUAAAAUGUUUAUCCAGGAAAAUAUUAAUGUUUUAAAAUCUUUUCCUCAAGCUAUACAGAAUUUGAAUUUAGAGACUUUUUAUCACGAUCGUUUUUUCUAUUUCCAUUGUUUACAUACAUUUAUCAAAAGUAAAAAUAAAACAGAAGGGUUGGUAAUAACAAAAUUAAUUACCCUUCUUGAUUUAUUGAAGUCUUUUAAUGUGGAAAAUUCAAAUAAGAUAUUACAAAAGUUGAUUAAGCUAGAAAACACAAUUCAUAAUAAUACUAAUAACGCCACAUCUGAUAACAAGAAG